GCCAGGCGUGGUGGCGGCGCCUGUAAUCCCAGCUACUCGGGAGGCUGAGGCAGGAGAAUUGCUCGAACCCGGGAGGUGGAGGUUGCAGUGAGCCAAGAUUGCACCACUGCACUCCAGCCUGGGUGACAGAGCGAGACUCUGUCUCAA
RNAcentral lists this non-coding RNA (147 nucleotides) under Chlorocebus sabaeus (green monkey). The record is from Rfam by way of RNAcentral. Lineage: Eukaryota; Metazoa; Chordata; Mammalia; Primates; Cercopithecidae.